GACGAACGCUGGCGGCGUGCUUAACACAUGCAAGUCGAACGGAAAGGCCCUGCUUUUGUGGGGUGCUCGAGUGGCGAACGGGUGAGUAACACGUGAGUAACCUGCCCUUGACUUUGGGAUAACUUCAGGAAACUGGGGCUAAUACCGGAUAGGAGCUCCUGCUGCAUGGUGGGGGUUGGAAAGUUUCGGCGGUUGGGGAUGGACUCGCGGCUUAUCAGCUUGUUGGUGGGGUAGUGGCUUACCAAGGCUUUGACGGGUAGCCGGCCUGAGAGGGUGACCGGCCACAUUGGGACUGAGAUACGGCCCAGACUCCUACGGGAGGCAGCAGUGGGGAAUAUUGCACAAUGGGCGGAAGCCUGAUGCAGCAACGCCGCGUGCGGGAUGACGGCCUUCGGGUUGUAAACCGCUUUCGCCUGUGACGAAGCGUGAGUGACGGUAAUGGGUAAAGAAGCACCGGCUAACUACGUGCCAGCAGCCGCGGUGAUACGUAGGGUGCGAGCGUUGUCCGGAUUUAUUGGGCGUAAAGGGCUCAUAGGUGGUUGAUCGCGUCGGAAGUGUAAUCUUGGGGCUUAACCCUGAGCGUGCUUUCGAUACGGGUUGACUUGAGGAAGGUAGGGGAGAAUGGAAUUCCUGGUGGAGCGGUGGAAUGCGCAGAUAUCAGGAGGAACACCAGUGGCGAAGGCGGUUCUCUGGGCCUUUCCUGACGCUGAGGAGCGAAAGCGUGGGGAGCGAACAGGCUUAGAUACCCUGGUAGUCCACGCUGUAAACGGUGGGUACUAGGUGUGGGGUCCAUUCCACGGGUUCCGUGCCGUAGCUAACGCUUUAAGUACCCCGCCUGGGGAGUACGGCCGCAAGGCUAAAACUCAAAGGAAUUGACGGGGCCCCGCACAAGCGGCGGAGCAUGCGGAUUAAUUCGAUGCAACGCGUAGAACCUUACCUGGGUUUGACAUGGAUCGGGAGUGCUCAGAGAUGGGUGUGCCUCUUUUGGGGUCGGUUCACAGGUGGUGCAUGGCUGUCGUCAGCUCGUGUCGUGAGAUGUUGGGUUAAGUCCCGCAACGAGCGCAACCCUUGUUCACUGUUGCCAGCACGUUAUGGUGGGGACUCAGUGGAGACCGCCGGGGUCAACUCGGAGGAAGGUGGGGAUGACGUCAAGUCAUCAUGCCCCUUAUGUCCAGGGCUUCACGCAUGCUACAAUGGCUGGUACAGAGAGUGGCGAGCCUGUGAGGGUGAGCGAAUCUCGGAAAGCCGGUCUCAGUUCGGAUUGGGGUCUGCAACUCGACCUCAUGAAGUCGGAGUCGCUAGUAAUCGCAGAUCAGCAACGCUGCGGUGAAUAAGUUCCCGGGGCU
Molecule: ribosomal RNA, 1346 nt
Filed under: uncultured bacterium
Lineage: Bacteria
Description: partial 16S ribosomal RNA
Rfam family: Bacterial small subunit ribosomal RNA
Source: RNAcentral